CCGGAGAGGGAGCCUGAGAAACGGCUACCUCAUAUAAGGAAGGCAGCAGGCGCGCAAAUUCCCCAAUCCUACAACAGGGAGGUAGCGACAAGAAAUAACACUACAGGACUUUUUGGUUUAGUAAUAGGAAUGAAUUAAGUAUAAACCCCUCUACAAGUAUCAAUUGGAGGGCUAGUGUGGCGCCAGCAGCCGCGGUAAUUCCAGCUCCAAUAGAGUAUAUUAAAGUUGCAGCAGUUAAAAAGCUAGUAGGAGGAUUUUUGUUAAUAAUUUGUAUAAAAUAUUUUGAAUAUUUAUAUAACAUUAACAUAAUUCAUAUUACUAUAUUUUUUAGUAUAUGAAAUUUUACUUUGAGAAAAUUAGAGUGCUUAAAGCAGGCAUAUGCCUUGAAUACUCCAGCAUGGAAUAAUAUUAAAGAUUUUUAUCUUUUUUAUUGGUUCUAAGAUAAGAAUAAUGAUAAU
This 458-nucleotide ribosomal RNA is filed under the name Cryptosporidium parvum. RNAcentral's name for it is "bacterial SSU rRNA". It matches the Rfam family "Eukaryotic small subunit ribosomal RNA", at positions 383 to 872 of the family's 1831-position model. The record is from RNAcentral. Lineage: Eukaryota; Apicomplexa; Conoidasida; Eucoccidiorida; Cryptosporidiidae.